GAUGAACGCUGGCGGCGUGCCUAAUACAUGCAAGUCGAGCGAACAGACGAGGAGCUUGCUCCUCUGACGUUAGCGGCGGACGGGUGAGUAACACGUGGAUAACCUACCUAUAAGACUGGGAUAACUUCGGGAAACCGGAGCUAAUACCGGAUAAUAUAUUGAACCGCAUGGUUCAAUAGUGAAAGACGGUUUUGCUGUCACUUAUAGAUGGAUCCGCGCCGCAUUAGCUAGUUGGUAAGGUAACGGCUUACCAAGGCAACGAUGCGUAGCCGACCUGAGAGGGUGAUCGGCCACACUGGAACUGAGACACGGUCCAGACUCCUACGGGAGGCAGCAGUAGGGAAUCUUCCGCAAUGGGCGAAAGCCUGACGGAGCAACGCCGCGUGAGUGAUGAAGGUCUUCGGAUCGUAAAACUCUGUUAUUAGGGAAGAACAAAUGUGUAAGUAACUAUGCACGUAUUGACGGUACCUAAUCAGAAAGCCACGGCCAACUACGUGC
RNAcentral lists this ribosomal RNA (498 nucleotides) under uncultured bacterium. Its description in RNAcentral is "partial 16S ribosomal RNA". It matches the Rfam family "Bacterial small subunit ribosomal RNA", at positions 28 to 508 of the family's 1533-position model. The record is from RNAcentral.